RNAcentral lists this ribosomal RNA (253 nucleotides) under uncultured prokaryote. Its description in RNAcentral is "partial 16S ribosomal RNA". It matches the Rfam family "Bacterial small subunit ribosomal RNA", at positions 524 to 776 of the family's 1533-position model. The record is from RNAcentral.
UACAGAGGUCCCAAGCGUUGUUCGGAUUCAUUGGGCGUAAAGGGUGCGUAGGUGGCGCCGUAAGUCGGGUGUGAAAUUUCGGAGCUUAACUCCGAAACUGCAUUCAAUACUGCGGUGCUUGAGGACUGGAGAGGAGACUGGAAUGGUCGGUGUAGCGGUGAAAUGCGUAGAGAUCGACCAGAACACCGGUGGCGAAGGCGGGUCUCUGGACAGUUCCUGACGCUCAGGCACGAAAGCCAGGGGAGCAAACGGG